CACCAACUGGCGACUAUUCCUUUGCUAAGUAUAACAAGUCUGUUGAUAUUGUCAGAUAUACCGAUGAAGAGUAUGAGAAGUAUUUGACUGAUCCUACAUGGACCAAGGAAGAAACAGAUCAAUUGUUUGACUUGUGUGAAAGAUUUGAUCUCCGCUUCAUUAUCAUAGCUGACAGGUUCUCAUUAUCUCGGACUGUGGAAGAAUUGAAGGACCAUGGAUAGUGCACGUUUACGAU
Molecule: unclassified non-coding RNA, 235 nt
Filed under: Hevea brasiliensis (rubber tree)
Lineage: Eukaryota; Viridiplantae; Streptophyta; Magnoliopsida; Malpighiales; Euphorbiaceae
Source: RNAcentral